GUAUGUCUGUGUGUUUAUGCCAUUCAGCACCAAGGACAGGCAUGUCUGUGUGUUAAUGCUGUUUAGCACCAAGGACAGGUAUGUAUGAGU
RNAcentral lists this microRNA precursor (90 nucleotides) under Branchiostoma floridae (Florida lancelet). Its description in RNAcentral is "mir-2060 microRNA precursor family". It matches the Rfam family "mir-2060 microRNA precursor family". Lineage: Eukaryota; Metazoa; Chordata; Leptocardii; Amphioxiformes; Branchiostomatidae. The record is from Rfam by way of RNAcentral.